This 223-nucleotide long non-coding RNA is filed under the name Homo sapiens (human). Its description in RNAcentral is "non-protein coding lnc-CCDC117-1:11". The record is from RNAcentral. Lineage: Eukaryota; Metazoa; Chordata; Mammalia; Primates; Hominidae.
GGACCGUGGCUAUGGAGUCCGGCGUGGCAGCGGCAAUCCCUGGCCAAAGCGCUUGGAUGUCCCCCUUUCUCUGUUUAUGGAGUUCCUUACUAUAUAAUCUUGGAAGAGCCUGCUUCCCACUCCAGAAGCCAAAAACUCCAGAUACCAGCUUGCCCCUGCCCCCAGGCAGCUAGGCUCAGCCACCCACCACAUCACUAUGAAGUAAGUCAGACAAUACCUACUU